UGUGUGUGUGUGUGUGUGUGGACAAAUAAAAUACAUCAAUAAAAAUAUUGACUUCAGAUCCUUUUUCUUAGAAUAGAAAGCCAUUUUUGAACAAUACAAACCUUCUAACCUACAAUGUAAAAUGCUUGUCUAGAAUGCCAUAACCAGGCUCUAAUCUGAAUGAUAUGCUAAGUAUAUUUAAUGACGUUUUAACUAACUAACUAACCAUGUAAAGAAUAAAAAAUACAUAAUAUAAUUAUAAACCAAGGAGUAAAAUAUAUAUAUUUUUUAGUUCUUCAUAAUAUGAUAACAUAAUAUAACGUAUACGAUCUAGAAUUUUAGGUAGUGUAGCCACUAUUCACUGUAAGUCCACUGUCAGCUUGGGGGAA
This 368-nucleotide unclassified non-coding RNA is filed under the name Hevea brasiliensis (rubber tree). The record is from RNAcentral. Lineage: Eukaryota; Viridiplantae; Streptophyta; Magnoliopsida; Malpighiales; Euphorbiaceae.